GCUGGGCAUAGUGGCUCAUGCCUGUAAUCCCAGCACUUUGGGAGGCUGAGGUGGGCGGAUCACCUGAGGUCAGGAGUUCCAGACCAGCCUGGCCAACAUGGUGAAACCCCAUCUCUA
Molecule: unclassified non-coding RNA, 117 nt
Organism: Pongo abelii (Sumatran orangutan)
Lineage: Eukaryota; Metazoa; Chordata; Mammalia; Primates; Hominidae
Rfam family: Metazoan signal recognition particle RNA
About the family: The signal recognition particle (SRP) is a universally conserved ribonucleoprotein. It is involved in the co-translational targeting of proteins to membranes. The eukaryotic SRP consists of a 300-nucleotide 7S RNA and six proteins: SRPs 72, 68, 54, 19, 14, and 9.
Source: Ensembl